This 635-nucleotide long non-coding RNA is filed under the name Brachypodium distachyon (stiff brome). Its description in RNAcentral is "long non-coding RNA (BDIS_LNC004575)". Lineage: Eukaryota; Viridiplantae; Streptophyta; Magnoliopsida; Poales; Poaceae. The record is from RNAcentral.
GUCCACUGUGAGAGAGGGAGAGGGAGAGGGAGAGAGGAAGAGCAAACUGAGAGAGGGAGAGAGGAAGAGCAAACUGAGAGAGGGAGAGGGCAUGUACCAGCGUCUGUAGGGUCGAGGAGGAUGGAUCCGGCGGCGGCGGCUUCGAUGGAGGGCCUCGUAGGUGGAGGAGCGCGCGCGCCGGGCGGUCCGUGUCCGCCAGCGCCGCCACGGGCGGGGAGGACUCCGGCGGGAGGAUGGAGGCCAGCACCAGGAUGCGGGACCACGCCUGGGACACGGACUCCCACCAGGACGGGGCGGCCGGGUCGGCAGCCGCAGAUGCGGAGGCGGAGGCGGAGGCUGGGGAGGAGCCCGAGGGCGGCCGGAUCCGCGGCGACCGGCCCCGUCCAUGGAGCAGGGAGACCGGAGGGGAGGAGGACUGCCUCGGGGAGGAGGAGGGCGGCCGGAUCCCCGGCGACCGGCGCUGGAUCCGGCCCCGUCCAUGGCGCAGGGAGAGGAGGUGGAGGACGAGCUCGUGUAUGAGGAGGAGGAGAGGAGGAGGGCUCGGUGGAGAAGAGAAAGAGGCGAAGGAGAGGGCUGCUAGGGGAUUGGGUCACAGACGAGAGAGAGGGAGGGGUGAGAGAGGGGGUGAAAAGAAA